This 312-nucleotide long non-coding RNA is filed under the name Androctonus crassicauda. Lineage: Eukaryota; Metazoa; Arthropoda; Arachnida; Scorpiones; Buthidae. The record is from RNAcentral.
GUUAUAGGGUUUUGUUAUAGGGCUAUUACCCAUGCUACACCAUGGUUCAAGACAAAAUUUCAUUCAUUUAUAAUUAGAAAUAAACAUUUCACAAUAUAUAAUUACAUAUUGUUUUUGUGAUUAAUCACUAUGCUUUAAUUAUGUUCAGUUUAUAACAAUGAAAAUAAAUCCUGCAUAUCAGAUAUUUAUAUUAUGAUUUAUAACAAUAGCAAAAUUACAGUUAUGAAAUAUCAAUGAAAAUAAUUUUAUGGUUGGGGGGUCACCACAACAUGAGGAACUGUAUUAAAGGGUCACACCAUUAGGAAGGUUGAG